UUGGAUUCGUUGGCCCCUUCCUCGAAGAGGAGCGUGGCAAAG
This 42-nucleotide ribosomal RNA is filed under the name Eutreptiella gymnastica. RNAcentral describes it as "partial 5.8S ribosomal RNA". Lineage: Eukaryota; Euglenozoa; Euglenophyceae; Eutreptiales; Eutreptiaceae. The record is from RNAcentral.